RNAcentral lists this unclassified non-coding RNA (202 nucleotides) under Hevea brasiliensis (rubber tree). Lineage: Eukaryota; Viridiplantae; Streptophyta; Magnoliopsida; Malpighiales; Euphorbiaceae. The record is from RNAcentral.
GAACAGAAGAGGAAGUUUGUCAUUCGAGCUUUUCUUUGGCCCCAUUAAUUACACAUCCUGCAAAUAUCACUACUGAAGUCUUGUUUAUCAUAUGCAUAUAAGAUCGGAGGAUCUUGAUGCUGAUAAUGCAUAUGCUAGACUACUUAUUUAUUAGUAGAUUUCUUUCUUGUCUUUUUCUUUUUGUUCUCUUUGGUUCUGCUAU